GCUUGAUCAAAACCAAGGAUGUCUCAUCUACUAUAGAUUACACCACUUUGUCUUUUCAACAAUGAAUAUAUUAUUAUAUUAAAAUGGAGAUACUAUAUUCCUAGUUUUUCCCAUUAGCUUUCUUUUGAAAUAGCAAAUCUUUCCUGAAUUCCAACAAAAUUGUGAGAUAACUAACUACCAAACUUCACAUUUGUCACUGCUGGAAUUUCAACCUCACCUCGUUUUUUGGAUCUCUGCUGAAUUUUUAACUUGUCGCACGGUUUUCACUCACAUCAUUCAGCAUUACGCCACAGUCUUGGGUGAAGCCAUCAGACCUUUUAUUAGCACCAGAAUAUCAUUACGCAUCGCAGAAACAGAACUUGGACUGACCUGUUCUAAAUGGGAGAACCACAGAGUAUCUGCAUCUUGAG
Molecule: unclassified non-coding RNA, 410 nt
Filed under: Hevea brasiliensis (rubber tree)
Lineage: Eukaryota; Viridiplantae; Streptophyta; Magnoliopsida; Malpighiales; Euphorbiaceae
Source: RNAcentral